AAACGUUUAACUUCGACUCUCUUAGAAGCUUUAGGCAUAAUAGCGUUUAGUCGUGCGUCUAGGUGGUUUAACCUAUAUGUUUUAAUGUUACCUAAGAUCCUAAGUGUUUUCCUAAGCUUUUCUAAGUUAUGGAUUCUAGUUCUAAAAGUUUUUGUAUAGGUUUUCUAUGUUUGGGGUUUCAUGUUCUAGGUCUUGUGUUUUCUACCUAUGUUGCUUUUCCUAUUAGAGUCUUGAGUUAUCUUCUUGUCCUCUUUUCUCCUGAGUUUCUUAGCCUAGUUUGAUGUUUACGUGAAUUUCUAUCUUUGACUUUCUCAUAAGCGGUCAUCCACAUCUUUUUUCCUUUGGACUUUUUCCCUUUGCAUUUUAAAAAUUUAUCUCUUGUUUAUUUUGUCAGGUUGUGAUUUUGACCUUUCUAGUUUACGGUUUUCUAGCCUAGUGUUUU
This 442-nucleotide long non-coding RNA is filed under the name Vigna radiata. Its description in RNAcentral is "long non-coding RNA (VRAD_LNC008676)". The record is from RNAcentral. Lineage: Eukaryota; Viridiplantae; Streptophyta; Magnoliopsida; Fabales; Fabaceae.